This 353-nucleotide ribosomal RNA is filed under the name uncultured Leptolinea sp. RNAcentral describes it as "bacterial SSU rRNA". It matches the Rfam family "Bacterial small subunit ribosomal RNA", at positions 1014 to 1382 of the family's 1533-position model. The record is from RNAcentral. Lineage: Bacteria; Bacillati; Chloroflexota; Anaerolineae; Anaerolineales; Anaerolineaceae.
GACCCUUCGGGAGGCUUGCACAGGUGCUGCAUGGCUGUCGUCAGCUCGUGUCGUGAGAUGUUCGGUUAAGUCCGCUAACGAGCGCAACCCUCGCUGUGUGUUAUAUGUGUCACACGGGACUGCCGGUCUUAAGCCGGAGGAAGGUGGGGAUGAUGUCAAGUCAGCAUGGCCUUUAUAUCCUGGGCUACACACACGCUACAAUGGCCAACACAAUAGGUUGCUAAGCCGCGAGGUGGCGCCAAUCCAUAAAGUUGGUCUCAGUUCAGAUUGUAGGCUGCAACCCGCCUGCAUGAAGAUGGAGUUGCUAGUAACCGCAGGUCAGCUAUACUGCGGUGAAUACGUUCCCGGGGCUU